CUUUCCAUGCGGUUGGACAUCAAGCCAUCGCUCUGUUUCUUUUACGUUUUAUGCCUCGGAAAGGCUUUGCCUUUUUACAAAAAAGAGAAAGAAGAGGAAAGACUAUUACAGUAAAACGUUCAACUUUA
This is a long non-coding RNA of Esox lucius (northern pike), 128 nucleotides long. RefSeq lists it as uncharacterized. Lineage: Eukaryota; Metazoa; Chordata; Actinopteri; Esociformes; Esocidae. The transcript has 2 exons. The record is from RefSeq and is a predicted model, not a curated record.